UACAGAGGGUGCAAACGUUGCUCGGAAUUAUUGGGCGUAAAGCGCGUGUAGGCGGCUUGUUAAGUUGGUUGUGAAAACCCAUGGCUCAACCAUGGAAGGGCGUCCAAAACUGGCAAGCUAGAGUCCCGACGAGGAUGGCGGAAUUCCCGGUGUAGAGGUGAAAUUCGUAGAUAUCGGGAGGAACACCGGUGGCGAAGGCGGCGACCUGGGUAGAUACUGACGCUGAGGUGCGAAAGCGUGGGGAGCAAACAGG
RNAcentral lists this ribosomal RNA (253 nucleotides) under uncultured bacterium. RNAcentral's name for it is "partial 16S ribosomal RNA". It matches the Rfam family "Bacterial small subunit ribosomal RNA", at positions 524 to 776 of the family's 1533-position model. The record is from RNAcentral.